GAGAUAGAGUCUUCCCCUUCGGGGGACAAAGUGACAGGUGGUGCAUGGUUGUCGUCAGCUCGUGUCGUGAGAUGUUGGGUUAAGUCCCGCAACGAGCGCAACCCUUAAGCUUAGUUGCCAGCAUUAAGUUGGGCACUCUAAGUUGACUGCCGGUGACAAACCGGAGGAAGGUGGGGAUGACGUCAAAUCAUCAUGCCCCUUAUGAUUUGGGCUACACACGUGCUACAAUGGACAAUACAAAGGGCAGCUAAACCGCGAGGUCAUGCAAAUCCCAUAAAGUUGUUCUCAGUUCGGAUUGUAGUCUGCAACUCGACUACAUGAAGCUGGAGUCGCUAGUAAUCGUAGAUCAGCAUGCUACGGUGAAUACGUUCCCGGGUCUUGUACACACCGCCCGUCACACCACGAGAGUCUGUAACACCCGAAGCCGGUGGAGUAACCAUUUAUGGAGCUAGCCGUCGAAGGUGGGACAAAUGAUUGGGGUGAAGUCGUAACAAGGUAGCCGUAUCGGAA
This 510-nucleotide ribosomal RNA is filed under the name uncultured bacterium. Its description in RNAcentral is "bacterial SSU rRNA". It matches the Rfam family "Bacterial small subunit ribosomal RNA", at positions 1003 to 1510 of the family's 1533-position model. The record is from RNAcentral.